GGGGCUGAUUCUGGAUUCGACGGGAUUUGCGAAACCCAAGGUGCAUGCCGAGGGGCGGUUGGCCUCGUAAAAAGCCGCAAAAAAAUAGUCGCAAACGACGAAAACUACGCUUUAGCAGCUUAAUAACCUGCUUAGAGCCCUCUCUCCCUAGCCUCCGCUCUUAGGACGGGGAUCAAGAGAGGUCAAACCCAAAAGAGAUCGCGCGGAUGCCCUGCCUAGGGUUGAAGCGUUAAAACGAAUCAGGCUAGUCUGGUAGUGGCGUGUCCGUCCGCAGGUGCCAGGCGAAUGUAAAGACUGACUAAGCAUGUAGUACCGAGGAUGUAGGAAUUUCGGACGCGGGUUCAACUCCCGCCAGCUCCACCA
RNAcentral lists this transfer-messenger RNA (363 nucleotides) under Salmonella enterica. Its description in RNAcentral is "Standard tmRNA". It matches the Rfam family "transfer-messenger RNA". Rfam says of the family: Bacterial tmRNA, also known as 10Sa RNA or SsrA, is named for its dual tRNA and mRNA-like properties. Its role is to liberate the mRNA from a stalled ribosome. Lineage: Bacteria; Pseudomonadati; Pseudomonadota; Gammaproteobacteria; Enterobacterales; Enterobacteriaceae. The record is from RNAcentral. RNAcentral also lists the same sequence under 2 other names.